RNAcentral lists this ribosomal RNA (492 nucleotides) under uncultured bacterium. RNAcentral's name for it is "partial 16S ribosomal RNA". It matches the Rfam family "Bacterial small subunit ribosomal RNA", at positions 29 to 507 of the family's 1533-position model. The record is from RNAcentral.
AGUGAACGCUGGCGGUAGGCCUAACACAUGCAAGUCGAACGGCAGCACAGUAAGAGCUUGCUCUUACGGGUGGCGAGUGGCGGACGGGUGAGGAAUACAUCGGAAUCUACUUUUUCGUGGGGGAUAACGUAGGGAAACUUACGCUAAUACCGCAUACGACCUACGGGUGAAAGCAGGGGAUCUUCGGACCUUGCGCGAUUGAAUGAGCCGAUGUCGGAUUAGCUAGUUGGCGGGGUAAAGGCCCACCAAGGCGACGAUCCGUAGCUGGUCUGAGAGGAUAAUCAGCCACACUGGAACUGAGACACGGUCCAGACUCCUACGGGAGGCAGCAGUGGGGAAUAUUGGACAAUGGGCGCAAGCCUGAUCCAGCCAUACCGCGUGGGUGAAGAAGGCCUUCGGGUUGUAAAGCCCUUUUGUUGGGAAAGAAAAGCAGCAGGUUAAUACCCCGCUGUUCCGACGGUACCCAAAGAAUAAGCACCGGCUAACUUCGUG